Molecule: long non-coding RNA, 9939 nt
Filed under: Gossypium barbadense (sea-island cotton)
Lineage: Eukaryota; Viridiplantae; Streptophyta; Magnoliopsida; Malvales; Malvaceae
Description: long non-coding RNA (GBAR_LNC013781)
Source: RNAcentral
CUGGAGCGGAGUCAGCAGCCAGGACCGCGCUCAUAGAGGCGGCGGCGACAAUGACGGCGCAGGAGAUCUUCUUCAUGUCCAUGGUAUUGAAGAAUAGGCUUAGUGAGAGUCGAGAGACCUGCUGCGAGAUGGAAAACAAAAUUUAUUAAUUUGGUUUUCUUUAUAUGUUUAUAUGUUAUUGUUCUUCACGCAGGUCUGAAGAACAAGGAUGAAGGUGAGGUGCAUUUUAUAGGGGAAAUUCAUGUCUAUUUUAAGCAACAAAUGGUUUCUCAUUAGCUUAAAAAUAGGCUUAGGCUUAUGUGGGGUUUUGCAUGUUUUGAGGAUUGAAAUUGACAUGCAUCAUCUUUAAAAAGUUAAAAUUUUAAUUUUCCAUUAAAACCCUUACAUGAAACCAAAUAGGAAUUUACUUAAUUACCAUUUUUUUAUAAAUAUAUAAAAAUAUAUAUGAUAAGUUAUGUCUUCUUUAUUUUUGGUUGCAAAAGAGGUAACUAUUGGUUCCACUAGACCUGUUUGAAAAGUGUGAAAGUUAGUAUAAAUUCAAAAAAUAGAUUUAGAUAAAAAAAUAAAGCUUAUUUAGAAAAUAAGUUGGACCUCGGGUAAAAUUUUUUAGCUCAAGUCCAGCCCGACUCGACUCAUGGAUACCUCUAAUUUCCACUUGUGCUUAUUGAAUAUAUUGAAUUGAAGUGGUAUGAUGAUAUAAUGAAUCGUUACAUUGAAUGGAUAAAUAAUGGAAACUAUGAAGCAUGAUGUUAUAUUGACACUUAAGAAAUGGUUUGAUUGAUAUUUAAGGCUCACUAAAAAUGAUUUCUAGAAAAUGAUUUGUUUUUCUGGAAAAGCUAAUAUUUUCUGGUGUUUGGUGUUUGGAUGAAUCUGUGUAAAAUAUUUUCUUUUGUUUGACAGACUUAAAAAUAUUUUAUAAAAUUUGUUUUCAAUGAAACAAACAUAGAUUCGAGAUUUUCUUAUCUUUUAAUUAUUUAAUUGAGUUUAUUUUAUAUCUAUAAUUUUAUAUUUUACAUUGUUUUUUGCAUAUAUUAAAAAUGUUUUGUUAAAUUCAUGUUCAUUACAACGUUAUUUUUUAGUUGCAUGAUUACCAAGUGAGUAUUUUUUAUUUAAAAAAAUGUGAUAUCAACAAAAUUGACAAAAAUUUAACAAUGUCAACAAUUGGACUUGAUUUUCAAAUAUGAAAAGAACAGAAACUAAAUUCUUGAAAAUAAAAGUACAGAGACAAAAUUACAAAUUUGUGAAGAGUACAUAGAGACUUAUGACAUAUUUUAACCUUUAUACUACAAAAUAUUUAUUAUUAAUAUAUUUGUAAUUGUAAUAAAUAUUUAUUAUUAUUGGUUAAUAAUAAAUAUUUAUUAUUAAAAUAUUAAUAUUGAAUAUUUUUAAUAAUAUGUGAUGAAUAUUAUCUAAAAUUUUUAUUUUUAAAAUUUAUUAUUAAAUAAAAUCAAAAUAUUUAUUAAAAUAAUAAAUUAUAUUAAUUAUAUUAAUAAUUUAUUAUAUGACUAAAUAUAAAUAAUUAAAUAGGUAUGUUUAAUAAUAUUGAAAAAUAUAAUAUUUUAUAUUAAUAUUUUAAAUAUUUUUAAAAAUAAAAAUAAAAAUUCUUAUUAAUAUAAUAAUAUUAAGCUUGAUUUAAGUUAUUUUUUAUAUAAAAAAUUAUCUAUAGAGGAGCUCUUUUUCGAAAAAUGACUUGCGCUUUUCAAAAGGGUAAGUCAUUUUACAAGAAAAAUGACUUAUUUUCCGUUGACCUGUAAGUCAUUUUCCGUUGACCAAACUAUUUUUUGUGAAUCAAACACAAAAAAUGCAGAAAAUAUUUUCCGUAAAACCUUUUACAUGUAAAUAAAUGGACCCUAAGUUAAAUUUGUAUUAUGUGCAAUUUGAUUGGACUCAAGUAUGAUAUUUGAAUUAUGAAAUUGAAUAUUGUGCCAUGUACACAUAUGUGUAACCAAUUUUUGAAAAUUCUCUAGUAAACCACUAUGAAUAAAUUUGGAUAUAAUUGGUAUGCUAACAAAACUUUAGUAGCAUUGUGUAUUAUAUUCUACUGAUAAAGCAAGAAUUGAUGUUUACAUAUUUGCUUUAUUGCACUAUGUGCAUAAUUGGUGUGAUGGAGGACAUAUGAUUCAUGUUAUAUAUGUUAAUUGGUGUGAUGGAGGAUUAUGUUUAAGCUCAUGAGCCAUCGGUGUGAUGGAUGAAUUAUUUUGAAUAUCUAGAUUAACCCUUCUCUUACAUAUAAUGGUAAACAUGAUAAAUGUUAUACUUCCUAUCCAGAAGGGAAAUGAGGCACCAUGAGAAGACAUAUGUGGACAAUCCUCUGCUUAUUUCCCGACCUAUACAAUACUUGGUAUAUUCUCCACCUAAGUGCUUAAACAAUUCUCUACUGCUCAACUAGUCACUAGAUGAUCAAUCACUCAGGCAUCUCAUCCUCCAGGUCACCCUCUUUUAGUUGGUGCAUGCUCACCUCCAAAGAGGGGACCUCUAAGGGGCCAUUAGACAUAACAACCUCAUACAGUCAAGGGAAUAUCAAAACAGUACCAUGCAUGAGGAAAACCCAAGCACAAUAGCUUUGCCACCUGAUGAUCAUCAUGUCCUAUAUUUGUCGGUGACGUGAACUCAUGGGGCAUGAGACCUCUUCCCUAUAAAUACCCUGUAGAACAAUGAAAGAUCGAUCCUUUAGCCUUUCAACAACCUUAAGCACUCCUCAACAGUCAACCUCCUUUGCUACCUCCCCCUCACUUAUUUUCUUUGUAAUACCCCGUAAAUUUUUACAAUAAAAUAUUAUCUUUGAUAUAGUAAGGAAAUAAAGUGGAAAAAAGAAGAAUUUUGAGUUAUGAAAAUAUUGAGAAGUAUAUUAUGAAAUAUUAAUUCAAGAAAGGAUUAAAUUGCAAAAGUGAGAAAAGUUUUGUUACCCAAGAGUAAAUACUCAAAAUUUGAGGGGUUAAAGUGUAAAUAUGAAAAAGUUGAAGGACCAAUAGUGUAAAUAUUUUAAGGGUGGAAUAAUCUAGAAACUAAGGAAAAUGGAUGAAUUAGGACCAAAUUGAAAAGCUAGAGAAUUUUGAGGGACUAAAUCGUAAUUUUACCAAAUUAAGUGAUGACUCAAGGAUGAAAUUUUAAAGAUUAUAAAGGGAAAAAUGGUCAAUUAGAAGAGAGAUAAAUCUAGAAGAUAAUGAUGAUGUUGGAGAUAUUUUAUAUUAAAUAAAUAAAUAAAUAUUAGUUUAUUAAUAUUUUAAUUUAAUUUUUAAAUGAUAUUUUAUUAUUUUAUUAAUAUUUUAUUUAGUAUAUAUAAGAAAAGGAAGAUGAAGAAUCAUCAAUUCCAUCAUAUUUCCAUGCAACUAACGUGAGAAGAGUGGAGAAGAAAGAAAGUUUUGCUUUCUUUACAAUUUGGUCCUUCCACAAAAAAUUUACCAUUUUCACCUAGAAAUCAAAAGAAAUUCCAUAGCUUCCAAGAGAGAGGAAUAACAAGGAGACAAUGAGGAGCUAGAAUAUCAAGUUAGGUUCAAGAAAUAGAAGCUGGAGGAGAGAGAAAAUCAAGUUAAAGAUUGAAAUCAAUAGCACAAGGUAAGAACAUCAAGAUUUCAAUAUAUUUUUAAGUUUGAUAUUAUUGAAAAGCAUGGAAAUAAUGUUAUAGUAGAGUUUUCUUAUAUAAGGUAUUAUGUUCUUGAUAUAUUAGUGAAGAGAAAUAAGUGAAAGUGAUGAGAAAUAUUAUAGAGAAAGGGAAUAAGGGAGUUAUACACCUAGUAAUCAACAUUUUGCACUAAAACAGUUUUGGACAACAGCAAUAGGUUAACUUUGAAAAAUCACCAUAAAUUGUGGAAAUCGAAUUAGAGUAUGAAUGAAUAUGGAAAUAAAUCUUAUUAAGUCUAGUUUAUCAUAGAAGAAACAGUGUAAGUAAUGGAAUUGUAAAUCAUGAGAUAUAAUAAAUUUUGUGAGACAAUGUCAGAAUGAAUUUGGGUUCCCUUGUUCUAACUUGGACAAAUCAUUAAAAAUUGUAAAAAAAUAAUUAUGAGUUAUAAUUUAUAUUUUUAAAAUCCUUAUGAGUCUAUUUUCAAUAGAAAUAAACGGGAACAUCAUCCGAAUUCUGUACAAAGAGAUAAUUAAUUUUUAGUGAAGAGGGGUCGGAACUAUCAAACAGUGAAACAGGAGAAACUUUAAAGAAUAAAAUGUACUUAUUUGCUAAAAAAAAUUAUGAAAAUUUUAUGGUAAGAAUAUAUAUAUGAGUCUAGUUUCAAAGAAAGUUUUCAGAUCUCAAUUCGGAGUUCUGUAGCUUAAGAUAUAAUUAAUUUAGAGACUAUGACUCAAGUGAACAGCUUGUUAUGAGUAAACAAGAUAAUAGUGGUAUUAUGUAUAUAUCAAGGAUGUGGAAUGGAGUGGAGGAGGAGGAAAAAUAUAUGUGAAUAUUCAGAUAAUAUGAGUUUAUUUUAAAACAUCUAAUUUACAUGUUUUAGGUUCAGGGACUAAAUUGAAUAAAAGUAAAAUUUUAAGGGUAAUUUUGUAAAAAUGUAAAAAAUGACCAAAUUGCAUGAAAUGAAUUGUUUUAUCAUUUAAAUUAAUAAAUUGAAUGAAAUAUUAAUUUAGAUCAAGAUUUGAGUGGAAAUUCGAGAAAAAUGGAAAAUUACCAAAAUGUCCCUAAAUUUUGAUAUUUCUACAAUUUAGCCCGAUAAGUUCGUGUAACUUGAAUUAUAUUCUUAAAUGCUUGAAAUGUUUGUUAUUGAUGUGAAUAUGAUUUGAAUGUUCAUUGUAUGAAAAUUGAUGAAACAUUGAUAUAUUUGAUAAAAAGGGGAAGAAAUCCCGGUUGAAUGGAAGGAAAAUUCGAUGGAUUUCUGAAAAGGAAUUGACAGUAAAAAGGUAAUGGUAACCCCACGAUUAAUUAUUUCACUUAUGAAUUUCAUAGUAAUAAAAAUACAUGUUCAUGUUAGCGAAGUUAACAUUUAACACAAAAACACAAAUUCAAAAGUUAAAAAAACAAACAAUUAAAUAAAAGGCUAAAAUAAUUUUUUUAUAAAGUUACGGAACUAUAUAAAUCAUUAUGCCUAAAUAAUUAUCCAUUAGAUAUUUUAGAAAUUUAAUUAGACUUCUUUUGUUUACGGAUGCAUUUGGAUUGAAUGAGGUUUCAGUCACUUAUAUUUAGAGGUAAUUCUAUCAUACAUCCCUAAAUUAUGAUCCUUAUUCUAAAUUAAUCCUUAAAUUUUUAAAUAUUUUAAUUACAUCCUUAAACUAUUAAGGUUAUAUCAACUAAGUCCUUUUAUUACUAAAAUCGUUAAUAUAUACCCAUAAAAUGACACAUUAUAAGAUCUUAUAUGGCAUUUAAAGUGAUUUAAAAAAAACGGAUAUUGUAAAAUAUUGUAAAAAUCUUAGUUUUAAAGUUUUCGAAAUUAUAUAUUCUCACACACGAUAUCUUUCUAUACAUAGUGAUGGUAUCAACUCAUAUGGCUAUAUUCGAUUCGGUGGAAUAAAAAUAAAAUAGAAAUUAGCUUUCAGAGAGCUAACUAAGUGGUUGAUUGUAACAACCCUAACCCGUAUCCAUCGCCGAAUUAGGAUUACGAGGCAUUACUGAACAAAAUACAACCAUCUCAAAAUCAAUACAUAUAUAUUAUACAUAUACAUAUACAUUAAAUAUGCAAAAUGUUAAACUUCUCUUCUAACCAUUUUAAUAAACAAAGACAUUAUAAUCUAACUAGUAAAGACAUUACAAACUAGCAAAUCUAUAAGGAAAUAAACCAUUUUAGUAUGGCUAUUAUAUUCAUAUACAAUACAACAAAGUACGACCUUCAAAACAUUUAUCUAGUCUGUACAUGCCAUAGUUAGAAUUUAAAUAUUUUAAAUACCGAGACAAUAGAUAAUGUGAUAAACUUGCUGACGAUCCCUGAGCUUGAAGCUUGAUUUGAUUUUUUUUUUGAUCUAUAAACAGAUAGACGUAAACAAACAAAGUACGCUUACAUAGCUUAGUAAGUCUAUAGCAUAACUAAUAUAUAUAUAAAAGAAGAAUAAUAUAAAUUCAUAAUUAAACUUAUUGAAAUCGCAAAUACGUCAUAUAUUACUAUUUGAAUAUUUGUUACUCAUAAUCAUCUUAUUUAUAAUCAAAUAUAUGUACUCGUAGAAUGCUUACCAAUGAAUAUAUAAAUAUGUAUAUACAAUAUGCAUAAUAAUUGUAUAUUUAAAUACUCAUCAAAAACUUACAACCGAAUACUUUUAUAUAUCAUUUACAUAUAAACAAAUGCAUACAUCAUUAUCAAAUACCUAAAACCGAAUGCAUAUACACUUCAUAUGUGUGUAACCGAACGCAUAUUUAUGUACUUAACAAAUUUUAUAUCCGAAUAUAUAUAUACAUACACAUCAAACGAAUAUAACCAAAUACAUUUAUACUUACCAAAAUGCAUAUAUAGAUUUCUCACAUACAUCUAUCUAAACGCGAUUAUACCUAACAAUUUCAUAAAAUUGAAUAUAUAUAUAAAUCCAUACUUAUCAAAUACAUAUAAACUAAUGUUUAUAUGCUCAUCAAACACAAUGACCAAAUGUAUAUACAUAUUCUAUAAAUCCAUAUGACUAAAUCAUACACAUAUUCGAUACAUGUAAACACAUGAUAUGAAUAGAUUCACCGGCACAAAACCUGCUAGGCUUAAGGCCUGAUUCAAUACACUGGCACUUAGCCUGCUAGACAUAAAGUCUGAAAUGUUUCACCGGCGUCAAGCCUGCUAGACUUAAAGUCUGAAAUGUUUCACCGGCGUCAAGCCUGCUAGACUUAAAGUCUGAAACAUAUCACUGGCAUCAAGCCUGCUAGGCACCGAGCCUGAACACUCAAUUUAUAUAAAUACAAAUCACUUUCAAAAUGUAUAUGUAUAUAAGAUUCCAUGUAUAAAAAUUUAGCUCAAUAUAUAUAAAUUAUGCCUUUAAACCACAUAGGUAUAUAAAGUUCAGAUAUUGAAUCCAGCUCAAUAACUUAAUUAUACAUAUGAUCAUAUACAAAUAUAUAACUUAAUACAUUAAGGGCUACUAUUAAUAUCAUGCAUUCGAACAUCUUAUAGUAAUCCAAGCUAACAAUUUUGUACCUUCAACUCCAUUCAAAAGCUUCACAUGAAUAUAAUUACAUAAUUGAAUCUCACAUAAACUUAUAUAAUUAUCAUACCUAAAUUCAAUACAUAAACAUGUACAUAUAUAAGUUUGUAUAUAUUCGAGUCUCAUACAUACUUUAUAUAAUAGUCAUACCUAAAUUUAACACAAAAACAUAUUCAAUUAUAUUUGUAUUUCCGAACUUCAUAUAAACUUAUAUAAAAAUUAUACCCAAACUCAAUACAAAAACAUAUACAUGUAAAUAUAUAUAUGUAUGUGCUCAUUCAAUUCUAUCAUAUACAUAUAAAUUUCAACUCACAUGUACAUACCAUUUCAAAACUACUUAUGCAAAUAUAACAUAUAUAUUUUUAAUCAAUCCAAUAGUUUGUACAUAUAUGUACUUACAUAGAUAUAUACAUUCGAACCUUAUAUUUAUAUAUAUAUACACACUAUACAUACCUUUCGAUUAAUAACCAAGAAUUUAUACAUAAGCCAUAUUCAUUCUUCAACUAAAUUCAAGAGCUUACAUAUAUGUGUAUACAUAUAUGUAUAUUCGAACAUUAAUCAUAUAUUUAUAUAUAUACAUAUCAUUUUUACUUUGACUAAAUUCAAGCUAUACUUUCAAUUUAAGCUCAUCCAAAUACAAUAUAUAUAUGUAUAUUAAUUAAUAACAUUAAAUUGCUAGUUGACUUACCUCGGACGGUGAAAAAUCGAAAUCGGACGAUUAUUCGACGAUUUUAUCUUUCCCCCGAUCGAACUCCGAUUUCUUUGGUUCUUGAUCUAAAUAUAUCCAGAAUGAGCUAAUUUAAAUAUUAAAACAUUCAAUUUAAUCCAAAAACACAUAAAUAGGAAAAUUACCAUUUUGCCCCUAAUAUUUUACACUUUUUGCAAUUUAAUCCCAAUUGCAUAAAACACAAUUUACACAAAAUCUCACAACAACAUAGCUAGGCCGAAUCUUCCUUGUAUUCAUACAAGUCCAUGCAUUUCAUUUAUUUUUCAUUUUAGUCCCUCAAAAAUUUAUUUUUUUAAUUUAGCCCUAAUUACUCAAAUUUACCAAAAAUUCAAAGACAAAACAUGUUAAUCUAACACAUAUAUUUCAUAAUCCAUCAUCAAACAUCAUAGAACACAAUUAUUCAUUAAUGGCAUAACUCAAAAUAUUCAUCAAAAUCAAAAAUUCUAGCAUGGGUCGGAUAGUAUUCGAAGCAACGAUCUCAAAAAUAUAAAAAUUAUCAAAAACCGAGUUAGAACUCACCUUGAAUCAAGCUCAACAAUGGCCGAAUACCCUAGCUUUGUUUCUUUGUUUUCUUUUGUUUUGUUUCGUGAUGAAGAUGAAGGGAAAAAAAAUGAUAAUGGCUUUUUUUUUUAAUGUUUAUUAUAACAUAAUAAUAUAUUAUACCUUAUUAUAACAUAUAUAUAAUAUUAAUAAUAUAAGAAAACCAUAUAUAUCACCUAAUGCCGUCCACUAACUUGGAAAAUGGCUUAAUUGCCACAUAGAACCUCCAAUUUAUAAAGACAAAAACAAUUAAGCACUUUCAUAUUUAACCCUCAAAUUUUCACUUUACGCGAUUUAGCUAUUUUCUCAAAUUAAGCAUACAAACAGUAAAAUUAUUUCACGAAACUUUCACAUAUAUAAUUUCACACAUAUUUAACACAGAAAAUAAUAUUAAAAUAUUUUUAGACUCGGAUUCGUGGUCUCGAACCAUUUUGUCCGAUUAGGGUCAAAAUUGGGCUGUUACAUUGAUAGCUCUGGUUUUGAAAACCGGUAUAGUUCGAAACAAAGAACUAUUGAGGGUUCGAGUCCCUCUCUUUCCUUUUGCUUGAUGAAUAGAUUUCUUUCUUUAUUGCUUUUUCCUGGCUUCUUAAUUAAGAAUCUUAAUAUUAAUAAAAAAAUUAUUUUUGAUAUAAAAUGAGUUGAAACAAAAUGAAAACAAAAUAUUUUUUAAAUAUCACUUGAUUCCUUCAAUAUAUAUAGUGUAAUCAAAUUGAUUCCUACCUUAAGCAUCGAAUCACGAUCAAUUUCUUUUUCAAAUCCCACUAUGGCUGCGCAAGCUCUUCCCGCGUGCCAAUAAGUGACUCACGAGCAAAAGCUUUACCGUUCACUCUCUCAAACACUCCUUUUUUCUUUGAGGUUUUACUUUUAAAAUGAUUAUGUGGUAACAUUUUGCUUUCUUUUAAAAUUCUUUUUAAAUUACACCACUUAAUAUUUGACAUUAAAUAUUUUAAUGACGGAAGAACUAAAUUGAUAUUAAUUUUGAUAAUUUGAGGAUGUAAUUAGAACAUUUUAAUAAUUGGAAAUCAAUUUAAAAUAAGAGUUAUAGUUUGGAGAUAUUUAAAAUAUAUAACUUUUUUUUUUUUUCAACUGCAAAGUAUCACAUGGAAUUCAACUUUUUUGAUGAACGUACAAAUGAAGUGAUGAACAAAAAAAGAAGGAAGAAAAGCAAGUAAAAUGGAUUGAACCCCGAGUAAUAUUUUACAUUUAUUAAUCCACCAUUUUUUAUUCUUCAACACUUCAUGCUUUCGUAUAUUCUUGCUGGCUUACUGCAAAUAGUAGGCAAAGAAAGAAACAAGGGUGGCUCCAACCAAGGACCCAAGAACAGGCAUUGUUGAGAUUGCGACGCUGGAGUCUGGGCCUGGGGCAGCUGCUGAAGCUGAAGCUGAAGCUGAAGCUGCACCUGGAGCUGAAGCCGGAGCUGGAGAUGGAGCGCCAGCAGCCAUGACUUCGCUCAUAGAGGCGGCGACGGCCACAAUGACGGCGCACGAGAUCUUCUUCAUGUCCAUGGUAUUGAAGAAUAGUAAGCUGACUGAGAGUCGAGAGACUUGCUGCGACGAAAAACAAAAUUUAUUGAUUUUGCUUUUUGUUUUCUGUUUUUCUCGCAGGUCUGAAGAACAACGAUG